UACGUAGGCAGCGAGCGUUGUCCGGAGUUACUGGGCGUAAAGGGUGUGUAGGCGGUUGUUUAAGUUUGGUGUGAAAUCUCCCGGCUCAACUGGGAGGGUGCGCCGAAUACUGAAUGACUUCGAGUGCGGGAGAGGAGAGUGGAAUUCCUGGUGUAGCGGUGAAAUGCGUAGAUAUCAGGAGGAACACCGGUGGUGUAGACGGCUCUCUGGACCGUAACUGACGCUGAGACACGAAAGCGUGGGUAGCAAACAGG
This 254-nucleotide ribosomal RNA is filed under the name uncultured bacterium. RNAcentral's name for it is "partial 16S ribosomal RNA". It matches the Rfam family "Bacterial small subunit ribosomal RNA", at positions 524 to 776 of the family's 1533-position model. The record is from RNAcentral.